AGAGGGAUAGCUGGGUCAAAUGGUGGUUCCAUUUCCAGUUUUCCAAGGAAUCUCCAUACUGCUUUCCGUAUUGGUUGUACCAAUUUGCAGUCCCACCAGCAAU
This 103-nucleotide microRNA precursor is filed under the name Marmota monax (woodchuck). Lineage: Eukaryota; Metazoa; Chordata; Mammalia; Rodentia; Sciuridae. The record is from RNAcentral.